This is a non-coding RNA of Nothobranchius furzeri (turquoise killifish), 995 nucleotides long. The record is from RefSeq and is a predicted model, not a curated record. NCBI's taxonomy places the organism in Eukaryota, Metazoa, Chordata, Actinopteri, Cyprinodontiformes, Nothobranchiidae.
UAUCACAACAGUUUCAUUGGAGGAGACAUUCAUGCUGAAACUUGACGAGUACACACCAGGUCUUUUGCGGCUUAUGCGUGACCAAAGGAGGAGCUGCUGGUUCCAAGAAGAGAGCUCUGCUGGACACUUUAAAUAACGAAUGUGAGGAAAACAGACAAAACGAUGAAGGUGAUCGUGAUGCACAACGCCAUGGCUGAGGAGGACCCAUCACAUGUGUCUAUUGUGAUGGAGGGAAACAGAACAAAGGCAUGUGUGCUGCUGAUGGGGCUGAUAUAUGCCCUCAACCUUGAAUAUCCGAAGCAGCUGAAGAACACAUUUGAAGCUUUUCAAAAAAAUUUUUUGGAACUCGACGGGACAAAACUUCUGAAAAAAAGGUACACAGCCUCAAAAAUAUGCUCAUGCAAUAAACACACAUUCCACCCCAUCUUCCAGGUGAAUCUUUUGACAGUUAGAGUCGUAAUGUAGUGUAGUUUUUUAUUUGAUUUCUCUUCCAUCCUCCGCUACAGACACAAAAACAACCUUGUAGAGUUUGUGUGUGCGCGCUUUUUGCCUUAGAAAACAUAAGUGGCAUCUUAAAGUUUUGUUUGCAUUAGUCAGUUAUCCAGAAACAUUACAAGCUGUAAAUGAUGUUAGUGACUUAUUAAACAGGUCAGUUCAUUGAAAUAUUGUGUGAAAGUGUUGUACUGCACUUUAAUUUGUUUUCUUUGAUAAUUUAGGGCAAGAUUGCUGCAAGACUGUUGGAGUAUUUGUUGUAUAAAUGCACCUGUACUGCAGAUAUUUUUAGUCACUGUUAUGGAAAGCUGAAUAGACACACAAGUAAGAUUUUAGAGAACUUCUUUAUGUGAUCGGACAUCCCUUGGAGCUCUGAUAUUGAUCUCACUUAUUUCAUUUUCUAAUCUCGUCUCUUCUCCUCAAUUCUUAUGUCCUAAAACAGGGAUAUGUUUUGCUGCACUUUAUUCUGUGUUUUUGUGGAAUAAAACCAUUGAGAUUAUGUA